GAUGAACGCUGGCGGCGUGCCUAAUACAUGCAAGUCGAGCGAUCGGACGAGAAGCUUGCUUCUCUGAUGUUAGCGGCGGACGGGUGAGUAACACGUGGAUAACCUACCUAUAAGACUGGGAUAACUUCGGGAAACCGGAGCUAAUACCGGAUGAUAUUUUGAACCGCAUGGUUCAAAAGUGAAAGACGGUCUUGCUGUCACUUAUAGAUGGAUCCGCGCUGCAUUAGCUAGUUGGUAAGGUAACGGCUUACCAAGGCAACGAUGCAUAGCCGACCUGAGAGGGUGAUCGGCCACACUGGAACUGAGACACGGUCCAGACUCCUACGGGAGGCAGCAGUAGGGAAUCUUCCGCAAUGGGCGAAAGCCUGACGGAGCAACGCCGCGUGAGUGAUGAAGGUCUUCGGAUCGUAAAACUCUGUUAUUAGGGAAGAACAUAUGUGUAAGUAACUGUGCACAUCUUGACUGUACCUAAUCAGAAAGCCACGGCUAACUACGUG
RNAcentral lists this ribosomal RNA (497 nucleotides) under uncultured bacterium. Its description in RNAcentral is "partial 16S ribosomal RNA". It matches the Rfam family "Bacterial small subunit ribosomal RNA", at positions 28 to 507 of the family's 1533-position model. The record is from RNAcentral.